UUUGAUUGUAAUCAUUAAGGUGAUCUAGGCUUAAAAGGGUUUCAUGCAUAGGGACUUUAUUAAGAAAAUUUUAAAAUCCCUAGCUUCCGCUGCGCAUUAUAACAUGCUAAAACCCUUCAGUGGUAUCAGAGCCAUCCUUAAUUGGUUCAAUCAAAUAAUUAUGUAUGAUGUAUGAUUAUUAAUUUAUUAUGAGAUAGUAAUGUCAUAUGCUUAGAAAAAUGUUGAAAUGUAUGAUUCAUAUAUGAUAUGUUAUGUAAUAAAAUAUCAUGAUAUGAAAUUUUCCAUAUGAAAAUAUGUUGAAGCAUGUUAAUUAAUUGCUUAUGAUUUAUACAUGCUAUGAGAUAGCCAUGAUGCAUAAUAGUUUAUUUUAGACAUGUUAAAUAUAUGUUACAAUUAAAGAAUGUGCUAGAGACUAGUAAGCCCUCAAUAAAAAUUAUAUUAAGUCAUAGUGUUGAAAAACUUUGGGCUAACCUAUAUUAGAACAAUUGAUCAAAUUGGUGUCUAAGGAAAGCACUAAAGGUGGUUCUCUAAUUAGG
RNAcentral lists this long non-coding RNA (536 nucleotides) under Phoenix dactylifera (date palm). RNAcentral describes it as "long non-coding RNA (PDAC_LNC021267)". Lineage: Eukaryota; Viridiplantae; Streptophyta; Magnoliopsida; Arecales; Arecaceae. The record is from RNAcentral.